CACUCAUCUGUCUGCUAGAUAACACAGGUACUCUGGCUCUCAUCGGGCAGCUUAGCAACAAGCUGGCUCAGCCUAAGGCAGAAACCAGGAUUGAUAUGGAAAACUCCCCAGCUGAUGGGUGUCUAAAAGCUUGUUACAUAUGGCCAGGCGCAGUGGCUCACGCCUGUAAUCCCAGCACUUUGGGAGGCCGAGGUGGGCGGAACACCUGAGGUUGGGAGUUCGAGACCAGCCUGACCCACAUGGAGAAACCCCAUAUCUACUAAAAAUACAAAAUUAGCCGGGCUUCGUGGCGCAUGCCUGUAAUCCCAGCUACUUGAGAAUCGCUUGAACCUGGGAGGUGGAGGUUGCCGUGAGCCAAGAUCGUGCCAUUGCAUUCCAGCCUGGGCAACAAGAGCAAAACUCUGUCUCAAAAAAAAAAAAA
This 421-nucleotide long non-coding RNA is filed under the name Homo sapiens (human). RNAcentral's name for it is "HSALNT0220183". Lineage: Eukaryota; Metazoa; Chordata; Mammalia; Primates; Hominidae. The record is from RNAcentral.